RNAcentral lists this ribosomal RNA (774 nucleotides) under uncultured Neocallimastigales. Its description in RNAcentral is "partial large subunit ribosomal RNA". It matches the Rfam family "Eukaryotic large subunit ribosomal RNA", at positions 24 to 620 of the family's 3401-position model. The record is from RNAcentral. Lineage: Eukaryota; Fungi; Neocallimastigomycota; Neocallimastigomycetes; Neocallimastigales.
GUAGUCUCGCACAGAUGCAUAUCAAUAAGCGGAGGAAAAGAAACUAACAAGGAUUCCCUUAGUAACGGCGAGUGAAGCGGGAAGAGCUCAAAUUUGAAAUCUUCAAGGUUUUACCUUGACGAAUUGUAGUUUAAAGAAGUGUUUUCCGUUGAAGUUUUGGUAAAAGUUCUUUGGAAUAGGACAUCAUAGAGGGUGAGAAUCCCGUAUUUGACCAUUAUUUUCAGCUGUGUGAUACACUUUCAAAGAGUCGGAUUGUUUGGGAAUGCAGUCCAAAAUGGGUGGUAAAUUUCAUCUAAAGCUAAAUAUUGGCGAGAGACCGAUAGCGAACAAGUACCGUGAGGGAAAGAUGAAAAGAACUUUGAAAAGAGAGUUAAACAGUACGUGAAAUUGUCAAAAGGGAAGCGUUUGACACCAGUGUUGUUUUCUCGAAAAUCAAUUAAAAAGAGUUAGAUUUUGUUGUGUAUUGACCUUAACAGCUUGCAUUUCAAUUUUCUUGCUUUUUUUAAUGCACUUUUCGUUUAACAAGUCAACAUCAGUUUCUUUUGUUGUAAAAAGGUCAUUGGAAGGUGGCUUUCUUUUCGGAGAGAGUGUUUAUAGCCUUUGACUCCUGCAAUCGGAGAGACUGAGGUCUGCAGCGUAGAUCCUUCGGGGUUAGAUACAUUUGUGCUAAGUUAUAGCUUUUUAUAGACAACUUGUUGACUAUGAUUAGUCUUGUAGCUUACUCGCUUAUGCUAUUUUACCUACGCUUAGGAUGUUGAAGAUGUAGCACAUCAU